RNAcentral lists this ribosomal RNA (2172 nucleotides) under Triticum aestivum (bread wheat). RNAcentral describes it as "partial small subunit ribosomal RNA". The record is from RNAcentral. Lineage: Eukaryota; Viridiplantae; Streptophyta; Magnoliopsida; Poales; Poaceae.
AUGCAUCCGACGGAGAGUUUGAUCAAACUAUUCAGUGAGUGGGAAAUCCAGCUACUUGUGCUCCUCAGCUUCACACUACAAUUGUUCCUCUUCUUUACUGGUAGCCUUCGGCGCAAUGGCACCAGCGGGUUCCUAAGGCUCUCCAUUUGGGCAGCUUACUUGGGGGCAGACUUAGUAGCAGUUUAUGCCCUUGGCCUUCUCUCACGACAUGAGGAUAUCACCACCACUGAAUGGCACAUGCAACUACUGGCUUUCUUUUGGGCACCAUUCCUCCUCAUCCAUCUUGGUGGGCAGGACACCAUUACUGCUUUUGCCAUGGAGGACAACAACUUGUGGUUGAGGCAUUUGUUGAAUCUGGUGGUGCAAGUUCUCUUAGCUCUAUAUGUUUUCUGGAAGUCCAUUGGAAGGCACAACGUGGAGCUUCUAGUCUCGGGUAUCUUUGUGUUUGUUGCUGGAGUUGUCAAGUAUGGAGAAAGAACAUGGUCUCUCAGGUGUGGAAGCCUCGAGAGCUCAACUGGGCAUCAUUACAUCAAACUAUUUCCUGAAGAAAUCAAUGUCGUAGAUGCUGGCUAUUCUAGCAUUGUUUGUGCUGCCCUAGAUUCGAUGCCAUAUAUUCUUGGUAUAUUUUCAGCGAGCAGCCUGUUUGCCACAAGCCCCUUGAGUGAAGACACACUACGAGACCCGGACAAAAUGCUCAAGGUGGUGAGGCUUGAACUUGGCAUGAUGUAUGACGAUCUCUACACUAAGGCUGUUGUGCUAAGAACAAGGAGUGUCAUCAUACUUAGAUGCAUUUCUCAGAUAUCUUUUUUUGUCUCUUUUGCUCUCUUCCACGCAGACGAUAAGCGGAGGUAUAGUAGAGGCGACACUGCAAUCACUUAUACACUAUUUUUUGGAGGUUUUUUACUAGAAGUCUGUGCGAUGUUUGUUUUCAUGAUGUCACCAUGGACAUGGGCAUGGUUGAAGGUUAAAAAGUGCAACAGGCUUGCCAAAUUGUCCUGGUUUAUUUUUUCCACUAAUAUUGGAUGGCCGGAGAAGAAUCAACGCUGGCCAAAUUUGAUGGGACAGUACAACUUUCGAAGCUGGUUGAGUGGCAACGAUCUGCAGCCAAGGACAUGCAAGCAACGAGUCAUGGCUGUGGUCAAAAGGUUAUUUAUGUAUUUGUUCUGUGCCGAAAAGAAAAAUAUAUUCUGGAUGAGCAAGCUGUUAGACACCGAGUACGUGAAUGUGGAUAAGAUGAUGAUGGAGUGUGUUGCAAAGGAGAUAUGUCUCUUACAUGAUGAAUUCCCCAUUGGAGAUUCCCCCACUAAACAGCCCCCACACAAGAAGGGACGCCGAGAAUGGCAAAGUAUUCAACCGCUGUUGACAAGAACAGAAACUGAUUUAGUUACUGAUUUUGGUUGUGGUAUUUCGGAAAUGCAUAUGCUGACUGAGCUACACUUAAGUAAAUAUCCUCCUCCGUCAGACAUGGAGGCCAAUAAUGCUGGUAUGGUGGAGGUAUGCCGAAAGCUAUCCCACUACAUGAUGUACCUUUUGGUUACUCACCCUUCCAUGCUGCCCCUCAAUAUUAGCGCGGAAGCUACGCUGGAGAGAUAUCAGGUGGAUCCUAGAGUAAUCGAGCAAGAUCUGAUGGCCAAGGAGGAAGGGAAGGAGCCAAGCAAGGAAGUAUUGGAGAGGAUGGAGCCAAGCAAGGAAGCAUUGGAGGGGUUGGUACACAUGUGGACAAGGCUCCUUCUUUACGCCGCUGGCAAAUCGAGGGUGGAGAUGCACAAGACGCAGUUGAGCAGAGGAGGGGAGCUCAUCACCUUCGCCUGGCUGUUCAUGGCCCACUAUGGGCUGGGGGAUUCCCAGCUUAGAAGGAUUCAAAUUACCAAUGACGAAACCAAGACCGUAUGUCCAAGCGUGCCACAGAUAUACGCCUUCUAUGAUCCAAAUUAUUCGACAGGCAGUGAUGAAUCGUCAUGCUCUCAAGAUGCCGACGUGCCGUCCAGCCCCUCCGAAUGUCGUCAUGCUGAGGAUGCCGUCGAGCCUCUCCGCACGUCGUCAAGCUCCCAGCAUGCCAACGUGUCGUCAGGCUCCUCCGCAUGCCAUGCAUCAAGCUCCCAAGAGUCCGUCUGUCGUGCCGUCAAGCCUGUGGCACCCCCGACGUACCUGUUAGAAAUCAACGACCGCUAG